This 497-nucleotide ribosomal RNA is filed under the name uncultured bacterium. RNAcentral's name for it is "partial 16S ribosomal RNA". It matches the Rfam family "Bacterial small subunit ribosomal RNA", at positions 28 to 507 of the family's 1533-position model. The record is from RNAcentral.
GAUGAACGCUGGCGGCGUGCCUAAUACAUGCAAGUCGAGCGAACAGACGAGGAGCUUGCUCCUUUGACGUUAGCGGCGGACGGGUGAGUAACACGUGGGUAACCUACCUAUAAGACUGGGAUAACUUCGGGAAACCGGAGCUAAUACCGGAUAAUAUUUCGAACCGCAUGGUUCGAUAGUGAAAGAUGGCUUUGCUAUCACUUAUAGAUGGACCUGCGCCGUAUUAGCUAGUUGGUAAGGUAACGGCUUACCAAGGCAACGAUACGUAGCCGACCUGAGAGGGUGAUCGGCCACACUGGAACUGAGACACGGUCCAGACUCCUACGGGAGGCAGCAGUAGGGAAUCUUCCGCAAUGGGCGAAAGCCUGACGGAGCAACGCCGCGUGAGUGAUGAAGGUCUUCGGAUCGUAAAACUCUGUUAUUAGGGAAGAACAAACGUGUAAGUAACUGUGCACAUCUUGACGGUACCUAAUCAGAAAGCCACGGCUAACUACGUG